Molecule: non-coding RNA, 30 nt
Filed under: Rattus norvegicus (Norway rat)
Lineage: Eukaryota; Metazoa; Chordata; Mammalia; Rodentia; Muridae
Source: RNAcentral
UCAGAACAAUCUUGGGGUAUCUGCUUAAGC